This 253-nucleotide ribosomal RNA is filed under the name uncultured bacterium. RNAcentral describes it as "partial 16S ribosomal RNA". It matches the Rfam family "Bacterial small subunit ribosomal RNA", at positions 524 to 776 of the family's 1533-position model. The record is from RNAcentral.
GACGAACCGUACGAACGUUAUUCGGAAUCACUGGGCUUAAAGGGUGCGUAGGCGGCGCGACAAGUUGGGUGUGAAAUCCCUCGGCUCAACCGAGGAACUGCGCCCAAAACUGUCGUGCUCGAGGGAGACAGAGGUGAGCGGAACUUAGGGUGGAGCGGUGAAAUGCGUUGAUAUCCUAAGGAACACCGGUAGCGAAAGCGGCUCACUGGGUCUCUGCUGACGCUGAGGCACGAAAGCUAGGGUAGCGAACGGG